AGUGAACGCUGGCGGUAGGCCUAAUACAUGCAAGUCGAACGGCAGCACAGUAAGAGCUUGCUCUUACGGGUGGCGAGUGGCGGACGGGUGAGGAAUACACCGGAAUCUACUUUUUCGUGGGGGAUAACGUAGGGAAACUUACGCUAAUACCGCAUACGACCUACGGGUGAAAGCAGGGGAUCUUCGGACCUUGCGCGAUUGAAUGAGCCGAUGUCGGAUUAGCUAGUUGGCGGGGUAAAGGCCCACCAAGGCGACGAUCCGUAGCUGGUCUGAGAGGAUGAUCAGCCACACUGGAACUGAGACACGGUCCAGACUCCUACGGGGGGAAGCAGUGGGGAAUAUUGGGCGAUGGAGGAGAGCCUAAUCCAGCCAUACCGCGUGAGUGAAGAAGGACUUCGGGUUGUAAAGCCCUUUUGUUGGGAGAGAAAAGCAGCAGGUUAAUACCCCGCUGUUCUGACGGUACCCAGAGAAUAAGCACCGGCUAACUUCGUG
This 492-nucleotide ribosomal RNA is filed under the name uncultured bacterium. RNAcentral describes it as "partial 16S ribosomal RNA". It matches the Rfam family "Bacterial small subunit ribosomal RNA", at positions 29 to 507 of the family's 1533-position model. The record is from RNAcentral.